This 241-nucleotide ribosomal RNA is filed under the name uncultured bacterium. Its description in RNAcentral is "partial 16S ribosomal RNA". It matches the Rfam family "Bacterial small subunit ribosomal RNA", at positions 524 to 763 of the family's 1533-position model. The record is from RNAcentral.
UACGGAGGAUCCAAGCGUUAUCCGGAAUCAUUGGGUUUAAAGGGUCCGUAGGCGGUUUAAUAAGUCAGUGGUGAAAGCCCAUCGCUCAACGGUGGAACGGCCAUUGAUACUGUUAAACUUGAAUUAUUAGGAAGUAACUAGAAUAUGUAGUGUAGCGGUGAAAUGCUUAGAGAAUUACAUGGAAUACCAAUUGCGGAAGGCAGGUUACUACUAAUGGAUUGACGCUGAUGGACGAAGCGUG